UCUAAAAAAUAAGCAAAGAAAGCAGUUUCUGAAGAUGUAAUCUGCUCUUGGGGAAGAUUCUGUGAA
RNAcentral lists this microRNA precursor (66 nucleotides) under Marmota monax (woodchuck). Lineage: Eukaryota; Metazoa; Chordata; Mammalia; Rodentia; Sciuridae. The record is from RNAcentral.